Molecule: ribosomal RNA, 483 nt
Filed under: Burkholderiaceae bacterium L376_RAm
Lineage: Bacteria; Pseudomonadati; Pseudomonadota; Betaproteobacteria; Burkholderiales; Burkholderiaceae
Description: bacterial SSU rRNA
Rfam family: Bacterial small subunit ribosomal RNA
Source: RNAcentral
UGGGGAGUACGGUCGCAAGAUUAAAACUCAAAGGAAUUGANGGGGACCCGCACAANCGGUGGAUGAUGUGGAUUAAUUCGAUGCAACGCGAAAAACCUUACCUACCCUUGACAUGUACGGAACCCCUGGUGAGAGCCGGGGGUGCCCGAAAGGGAGCCGUAACACAGGUGCUGCAUGNCUGUCGUCAGCUCGUGUCGUGAGAUGUUGGGUUAAGUCCCGCAACGAGCGCAACCCUUGUCCCUAGUUGCUACGCAAGAGCACUCCCAGGGAGACUGCCGGUGACAAAUCCGGAGGAAGGUGGGGAUGACGUCAAGUCCUCAUGGCCCUUAUGGGUAGGGCUUCACACGUCAUACAAUGGUCGGAACAGAGGGUUGCCAAGCCGCCGAGGUGGAGCCAAUCCCAGAAAACCGAUCGUAGUCCGGAUCGCACUCUGCAAACUCGAGUGCGUGAAGUCUGGAAUCGCUAGUAAUCGCGGAUCAGCAU